This 85-nucleotide transfer RNA is filed under the name Streptosporangiales bacterium. Its description in RNAcentral is "tRNA-Leu". It matches the Rfam family "tRNA". From Rfam's summary of the family: Transfer RNA (tRNA) molecules are approximately 80 nucleotides in length. Lineage: Bacteria; Bacillati; Actinomycetota; Actinomycetes; Streptosporangiales. The record is from RNAcentral.
GCGGGAGUGGCGGAACUGGUAGACGCGCCAGGUUUAGGACCUGGUGCCUUCGGGCGUGUGGGUUCGAGUCCCUCCUCCCGCACCA